UACGUAGGGUGCAAGCGUUAAUCGGAAUUACUGGGCGUAAAGCGUGCGCAGGCGGUCUUUGCAAGACAGAUCGUGAAAUCCCCGGGCGUCAACCUGGGUACUGCAUUUGUGACUGCAAGGCUGGAGUGCGGGCAGAGGGGGAUGGAAUUCCGCGUGUAGCAGUGAAAUGCGUAGAUAUGCGGAGGAACACCGAUGGCGAACGGCGAAUCCCCUGGGCCUGCACUGACGCUCAUGCNCGAAAGCGUGGGGAGCAAACAGGAUUAGAUACCCGUGUAGUU
This 278-nucleotide ribosomal RNA is filed under the name uncultured bacterium. RNAcentral's name for it is "partial 16S ribosomal RNA". It matches the Rfam family "Bacterial small subunit ribosomal RNA", at positions 524 to 795 of the family's 1533-position model. The record is from RNAcentral.